Molecule: small nuclear RNA, 118 nt
Filed under: Schistosoma japonicum
Lineage: Eukaryota; Metazoa; Platyhelminthes; Trematoda; Strigeidida; Schistosomatidae
Description: U5 spliceosomal RNA
Rfam family: U5 spliceosomal RNA
About the family: U5 RNA is a component of both types of known spliceosome. The precise function of this molecule is unknown, though it is known that the 5' loop is required for splice site selection and p220 binding, and that both the 3' stem-loop and the Sm site are important for Sm protein binding and cap methylation.
Source: Rfam by way of RNAcentral
UAACUCUGAUGUCUCCUCAUUUGCGGAUAAAUCUUUCGCCUUUUACUAAAGAUUUCCGUGGGGAGGCAUAAUACAAUGAGUCUUAUCUCAUUUUUCCAGCUCUGUCUCACGACAGAGU